This 29-nucleotide non-coding RNA is filed under the name Homo sapiens (human). Lineage: Eukaryota; Metazoa; Chordata; Mammalia; Primates; Hominidae. The record is from RNAcentral.
UGCACUAAAGAAAGAGGGCCCCUGACUAA